This 526-nucleotide ribosomal RNA is filed under the name uncultured eukaryote. Its description in RNAcentral is "SSU rRNA". It matches the Rfam family "Eukaryotic small subunit ribosomal RNA", at positions 100 to 634 of the family's 1831-position model. The record is from RNAcentral.
AUUAAAACAGCUAUAGUUUAUUUGAUAAUCAAACUUACAUGGAUAACCGUAGUAAUUCUAGAGCUAAUACAUGCUGUACACCUAACUUCAUGGAAAGGUGGUAUUUAUUAGAUAACAACCAAUAUUCCGCAGGUCUAUCGUGGUGAAUCAUAAUAACUGAUCGAAUUGCAAAGCCUUUGGCUGCGAUAAGUCAUUCAAGUUUCUGCCCCAUCAGCUGUAGAUGGUAGUGUAUUGGACUACCAUGGCUUUCACGGGUAACGGAGGAUUAGGGUUCGAUUCCGGAGAGGGAGCCUGAGAAACGGCUACCACAUCUAAGGAAGGCAGCAGGCGCGUAAAUUACCCAAUCCUGACUCAGGGAGGUAGUGACAAGAAAUAACGAGCAGUGGCAUUCGCCACUGAAUUGCAAUGAGCCGAAUUUACACCACUUAGUGAGGAUCGAUUGGAGGGCAAGUCUGGUGCCAGCAGCCGCGGUAAUUCCAGCUCCAAUAGCGUAUAUUAAAGUUGUUGCAGUUAAAAAGCUCGUAGU